RNAcentral lists this long non-coding RNA (415 nucleotides) under Heterocephalus glaber (naked mole-rat). Its description in RNAcentral is "lncRNA (ENSHGLG00000032686.1)". The record is from RNAcentral. Lineage: Eukaryota; Metazoa; Chordata; Mammalia; Rodentia; Bathyergidae.
GGAAGUGUGGUUGGACCCAGCUGUUCUCGACGUGUGGGCGUCUUCCGGGCGUCGUUUAGAGACGCCUGAGGUUGAGCCCGGCUCCAGAAUGUUAAUGCUACUGCAGCAGAUGUAAUGCCGCGUGUGGUCGGUCUCGGUUCUGUGUCGGAAAGCGGUGCUUAGCAGUCACCCCAAAGGUUAUCCGCUUAACGCAACAAGCAGGUUCGCUAGGCUGGGGAUUUGCCGAUGGCCUGACUCGGUGUUUCUGCUUGAAGAAAAGUGAAACCCUCAUUCUGUCUCUACCGGAGAACGUCAGUUGGCCUCAGCCUGGGGAGCUGCCCUCAAACCCAAGCCUCUUCCUGAUCCUUGAGCUCUUGGUCAUGGCCACUCCUCCAGAUGACUCCAGUGCUGGAGUGAAACUGUGGUUUGAGAACCA